RNAcentral lists this ribosomal RNA (468 nucleotides) under uncultured bacterium. RNAcentral's name for it is "partial 16S ribosomal RNA". It matches the Rfam family "Bacterial small subunit ribosomal RNA", at positions 28 to 507 of the family's 1533-position model. The record is from RNAcentral.
GACGAACGCUGGCGGCGUGCUUAACACAUGCAAGUCGAACGGAAAGGCCCUGCUUUUGUGGGGUGCUCGAGUGGCGAACGGGUGAGUAACACGUGAGUAACCUGCCCUUGACUUUGGGAUAACUUCAGGAAACUGGGGCUAAUACCGGAUAGGAGCUCCUGCUGCAUGGUGGGGGUUGGAAAGUUUCGGCGGUUGGGGAUGGACUCGCGGCUUAUCAGCUUGUUGGUGGGGUAGUGGCUUACCAAGGCUUUGACGGGUAGCCGGCCUGAGAGGGUGACCGGCCACAAUGGGACUGAGAUACGGCCCAGACUCCUACGGGAGGCAGCAGUGGGGAAUAUUGCACAAUGGGCGGAAGCCUGAUGCAGCAACGCCGCGUGCGGGAUGACGGCCUUCGGGUUGGAAACCGCUUUCGCCUGUGACGAAGCGUGAGUGACGGUAAUGGGUAAAGAAGCACCGGCUAACUACGUG